Molecule: long non-coding RNA, 513 nt
Organism: Passer domesticus (house sparrow)
Lineage: Eukaryota; Metazoa; Chordata; Aves; Passeriformes; Passeridae
Exons: 3
Source: RefSeq, a predicted model, not a curated record
CAACAUCAGGGGAUAAAAGGCUGGGCUACACAACAAGAAAGGCUGAUGCUUGAAGCCUUCUGAAGUGGUAAGGUGUUACUGUGUAGGGGCAGACACCUGAAGCCUUCUGAAGAGUUGAAGUACACCAGAACAGGAGUCUUUGAGAAACAGUGAAAAGGUGGUGAUUUAUUACUGUGGUGAAACAGGCAGAAGUCCAGUCUGCAAUACUUCUUGUACAGGAAUUCGUAAUGGGAUGGAUUAUAGUUUUUGUAUCUACGAGAAAUACCCAGAUCUACACUUCAAGAAAAUGUCAAUCAUUACAUUUUCAGUAGCCUAAAUCACACUGCACUUUGUUCAGCACAUUUAAGUCUAGAUGUCAAAUUAGGCAUGAAACCCUUCAUGUUAAUAUUCAAUUUACUAGCAGCUAAUUUUUAUUACUUUAAGCUUUACUUAUAUUUUUAUGAUUAGGCUAGUUUAAAGCUCUCAGAUAUAAAAAAAUCCCAAGGAAUAAAGAUUAGCGAUAUUUAUUGGGUU